This 159-nucleotide ribosomal RNA is filed under the name Colletotrichum fioriniae. RNAcentral's name for it is "5,8S rRNA". It matches the Rfam family "5.8S ribosomal RNA". Rfam says of the family: 5.8S ribosomal RNA (5.8S rRNA) is a component of the large subunit of the eukaryotic ribosome. The record is from RNAcentral. Lineage: Eukaryota; Fungi; Ascomycota; Sordariomycetes; Glomerellales; Glomerellaceae.
AAACUUUUAACAACGGAUCUCUUGGUUCUGGCAUCGAUGAAGAACGCAGCGAAAUGCGAUAAGUAAUGUGAAUUGCAGAAUUCAGUGAAUCAUCGAAUCUUUGAACGCACAUUGCGCUCGCCAGCAUUCUGGGCGAGCAUGCCCUGUUCGAGCGUCAUU